AUGCAAGUCGAACGCUUUUUUCAAUCAUCGUAGCUUGCUACACCGAUUGAAAAUUGAGUGGCGAACGGGUGAGUAACACGUGGGUAACCUGCCCAAAAGAGGGGGAUAACACUUGGAAACAGGUGCUAAUACCGCAUAACCAUGAUGACCGCAUGGUCAUUAUGUAAAAGAUGGUUUCGGCUAUCACUUUUGGAUGGACCCGCGGCGUAUUAACUUGUUGGUGGGGUAACGGCCUACCAAGGUAAUGAUACGUAGCCGAACUGAGAGGUUGAUCGGCCACAUUGGGACUGAGACACGGCCCAAACUCCUACGGGAGGCAGCAGUAGGGAAUCUUCCACAAUGGGCGCAAGCCUGAUGGAGCAACGCCGCGUGAGUGAAGAAGGUCUUCGGAUCGUAAAACUCUGUUGUUAGAGAAGAACAUGCAGGAGAGUAACUGUUCUUGUAUUGACGGUAUCUAACCAGAAAGCCACGGCUAACUACGUGCCAGCAGCCGCGGUAAUACGUAGGUGGCAAGCGUUGUCCGGAUUUAUUGGGCGUAAAGGGAACGCAGGCGGUCCUUUAAGUCUGAUGUGAAAGCCUUCGGCUUAACCGAAGAAUUGCAUUGGAAACUGGAGGACUUGAGUGCAGAAGAGGAGAGUGGAACUCCAUGUGUAGCGGUGAAAUGCGUAGAUAUAUGGAAGAACACCAGUGGCGAAAGCGGCUCUCUGGUCUGUAACUGACGCUGAGGUUCGAAAGUGUGGGUAGCAAACAGGAUUAGAUACCCUGGUAGUCCACACCGUAAACGAUGAAUGCUAAGUGUUGGAGGGUUUCCGCCCUUCAGUGCUGCAGCUAACGCAAUAAGCAUUCCGCCUGGGGAGUACGACCGCAAGGUUGAAACUCAAAGGAAUUGACGGGGGCCCGCACAAGCGGUGGAGCAUGUGGUUUAAUUCGAAGCAACGCGAAGAACCUUACCAGGUCUUGACAUCUUUUGACCAUCUUA
RNAcentral lists this ribosomal RNA (979 nucleotides) under Ligilactobacillus agilis. RNAcentral's name for it is "bacterial SSU rRNA". It matches the Rfam family "Bacterial small subunit ribosomal RNA", at positions 55 to 1002 of the family's 1533-position model. Lineage: Bacteria; Bacillati; Bacillota; Bacilli; Lactobacillales; Lactobacillaceae. The record is from RNAcentral.